This is a long non-coding RNA of Nycticebus coucang (slow loris), 2549 nucleotides long. RefSeq lists it as uncharacterized. Lineage: Eukaryota; Metazoa; Chordata; Mammalia; Primates; Lorisidae. The record is from RefSeq and is a predicted model, not a curated record. The transcript has 2 exons.
CUGGGUGCCCCAGGCUGGAGCUAGGGUGCACCAGCCCCAAAGGGCAGGGCCCUCGCAGGAGCCAGGCCUGGAGGGCCUCAGAGAUGCAUGCCUGUCACCCUCAUGGCAGGGCUGGGCCACAGGGCAGCUCCCAGAGGAGAUACCACCCUCAGCCUGCCAGAAUCCCCGUAAGCAGUGGCUGAUAGUCGACACCAGAGGACCCACACCCAGCCCUGCAUGGGAGCCAUGCCUGGCAGGUGGUCCUGGGGUGGAGGGCGCUCCAGCACCUCCUCUAUUCCCAGUGCGCAGUGGGGACACUCUGCUGAGUCCCACUCCUGCUGAGAGCAGGUGGCUGGUGUUGAUGCACCACACCUACCAGGCUGGGCUGAAACCACCAGGCUGCCCGUGAGCUGGCCCCAGGUCCGCACUGGCCCCAGCUGGGGCUGUUCCCACCCGGGAAUGGACUGGGUGAGUGGAAGCGAAGUGAGGUGCAUGGAGUGGGCAAACGGAGGCAAGUUACAGGCUGGGUCCUCUCUGACCCCAGAGAUGAGCACAUGGCACAACAUGCCCCCAGGAGCCAGUGUGAGGGCACCAGGGCCCCAGCAGGGCCAGCAUCUGGGGGCAGUGUGGACAAGAAUUCUCCAAAAUGAGGGACAUUCCAAGAGCUUUCCAAAAUCCAAGGAUCAGCAAUGAGAGCAACAGGGGAUUUCUGAAGAAAGAUGUGUACACGUGUAUAAGAGUGUGUGGUGUGUGUGCAUGUGGGCUGAUGUGUGUAUACAGGGGUGUGUGGUGUGUGCAUGUGUGUCUAUAGAGGUGUGUGCUGAUGUGUGUACAGGGGUGUGUGUGUAUGUGUGUAUAGCGGAUGUUUGGUAUAUGUGUGCUGAUGUGUGUGUAUGGGGGCGUGUACAGGGUGUGCAUGUGCUGAUGUGUGUUUGGGUGUGUGUGUGUGAUGUAUGUACAUAGUGUGUUGUGCAUGUGUGCUGAUGUAUGUAUAGGGGUGUGUGUGCUGAUGUAUGUACAGGGGGUGUGUGGUGUGUGCAUGUGUGAUGUGUGUACAGGGCGUGUGUGUACAUGUGUGCUGAUGUGUGUACAGGGGGUGUGUGGUAUGUGUGCUGAUGUGUGUAUAGGAGGUGUGUACAUGUGUGCUGAUGUGUGUACUGGGGGUGUGUGGUAUGUGUGCAUGUGUGUAUGGGGGGUGGGUGGUGUGUGUACAUGUGUGUAUGAUGUGUGUACAGGUGGUGUGUGCCUGUGUGUGCAAACGUGUGUGUGUAUAGAGUGUGUGGUGUGUGUAGGGUUUUUGGGGGUGUGUGUGUGUUCAGGCACAGUGUACCCUAAGGUGAGAAACGUGGCCCGAAACAGAAGAAAUGUGAUAAAGGAACAAGUCUUCCAGAAAAAUCCAGUAAUUACGAAUUAUAAAUUUCUAUGCCACGAAUAAUAGCCUUAAGGUACAAAAGUGAAAACUGACAGAGCUUAACAGACCCAUGCAAAUUAGUUGUGACAGAAAGUUUUAACCCAGGAAAUGGGAGAUCUGAACAGCAAGGCCACAAGCUUGACCCAUGACAUCUCUCGGCCAUGGACUCAGCAGGGGGACUAGACUCCCAAGUGGGCCAGGGUGUACCGAGCACAUCAGCAGGUGCCCGGGAUGGCGAUCUCACACAGUGUGGUGGAUCCCAACGCAGAGCAGCCGACUUUAGGCCACAUGUGAGCAAGGAGAGAUGAACAUGAGAAACUACCUAGCAGGCAGGAUCAGCUGGAGCCCCACGCUGCUGAGGUGGCCUUGUAGGGUGGAAGCUGCAGACUGUCGGGCGAUGGGGCCCUGCCACCUGUCACCUCUGCAGAAAGGCUUAGGCGGAGUGGGCUUGGGAUUGAGCAAGGUUUCAAGGGCCCAACGACUGCAACUGUGGUCACCCCAUCCCCACUGAGGGCACCUGAGAUGGUUUCGCCCUGGGUGCCCGGAGCCACCUGCCCAGGGCAUAGCCUCUGGGUGGGCAUGGCCUCUGGCUCCCACUAAGCACUUGGGGUGCAGGUUUCAGAGUGACCCCAAGGCUGCUUUCCCACCCAGAAGGAGGGGGCUUUAUUAACUGUUCACAAAAUUAUAGCCUUACAUAACAGUUAUUUCUAAGUAUCCAGCUCAAGCAAUUAGAAAACAAACAGCAAAUGUAGUUUAAUGAAAACAGAUGGACAUAUUAAAAUGGCAAAUGAAAAGAAAAAGUAUAUAUUUAUAUCUGUGUAAAACAGGAAGCACCAGGAAGCCCAAAAACCAAGUUAGGUCUUGGGACGGCUGAGACUAUUCAGAUGCCUGUGUCAAGACUAAUAACAAAAGCAGGAGCAGCGACAUUUCUGCUGAGGGGCAUGCAGAGGGUCCCUGGGCCCUGCGCGGGUGGAGGAAGGAAAGUCUCACUGUUUCCACAGACAACAAGUCCCAUGUAAACAACCGCAAAGGAUCUACAAAUAAAGUGUCAGAAUUAAUAAGUAAUUUACCAAAGUCACUAGGUAAAGGCAAUUAAAAAAAAUCAAUGCCUAGUCAUAAACAAUGAAAAAUAUUUUUAAAAGACACUGUUAACAAAAAC